RNAcentral lists this unclassified non-coding RNA (211 nucleotides) under plant metagenome. Its description in RNAcentral is "partial contains small subunit ribosomal RNA, internal transcribed spacer 1, and 5.8S ribosomal RNA". The record is from RNAcentral.
UUUCCGUAGGUGAACCUGCGGAAGGAUCAUUCAUAAUAAAGUGUUUUAUGGCACUUUUUAAAAAUCCAUAUCCACCUUGUGUGCAAUGUUAGAUCUCGUCAAUCUUGGCGAGAUUUUUAUACAUCAACUCAUUCUUUAACUAAUUUGUCUGAAAAAUAUUAUGAAUACUUAAUUCAAAAUACAACUCUCAACAACGGAUCUCUUGGCUCUC